Molecule: long non-coding RNA, 414 nt
Filed under: Malus domestica (apple)
Lineage: Eukaryota; Viridiplantae; Streptophyta; Magnoliopsida; Rosales; Rosaceae
Description: long non-coding RNA (MDOM_LNC020190)
Source: RNAcentral
AAGGUGGCCGGCCUUUGAUGUGUUUUAGAGAGAUAUUUCUUUUGCCUCUUUGUUGUUUUAAACACACAAAAACCCUAAUGAACAAUAUCUCUAUAAAGUUCCUUAUAUAGACAAAAGAAACCUAGUCAACAACUUGACUAAAUAUCUCACUUCUUUGCCUUAAACACACAAACCCUUGAACAAUAUCUCUAUAAAGUUCUUAUAUAGACAAAGAAACCUAGUCAACAACUUGACUAAAUAUCUCACCUCUUUCACCUUAAAGUGGCCGGCCCUCUUUGUGUUGUUUGGGCUUUAGGCUUUCAUUUAUUUCAAGUCAUCCAAUGCUUGAAUAAAAGCCCAAUGGGCCCAAUUAAACCCGAAAGUUUCUUUAAGCCCAAAACGAUCUUUAUCGCUUUUAUGAUUUCGUUAGACUUU